CCUUCGGGAGGCAGCAGUGAGGAAUAUUGGUCAAUGGGCUUACGCCUGAACCAGCCAAGUCGCGUGAGGGAAUAAUGCCCUACGGGUCGUAAACCUCUUUUGUCAGGGAGCAACGCCGGCUACGUGUCCCGGCACUGAGAGUACCCGGAGAAAAAGCAUCGGCUAACUCCGUGCCAGCAGCCGCGGUAAUACGGGGGAUGCGAGCGUUAUCCGGAUUUAUUGGGGUUAAAGGGUGCGUAGGCGGGAUUUUAAGUCAGCGGUAAAAAUUCGGGGCUCAACCCCGUCCCGCCGUUGAAACUGGCGUCCUUGAGUGGGCGAGAAGAAGGCGGAAUGCGUGGUGUAGCGGUGAAAUGCAUAGAUAUCACGCAGAACCCCGAUUGCGAAGGCAGCCUUCCGGCGCCCUACUGACGCUGAGGCACGAAAGUGCGGGGAUCGAACAGGAUUAGAUACCCCGGUAGUC
This 460-nucleotide ribosomal RNA is filed under the name uncultured bacterium. Its description in RNAcentral is "partial 16S ribosomal RNA". It matches the Rfam family "Bacterial small subunit ribosomal RNA", at positions 338 to 795 of the family's 1533-position model. The record is from RNAcentral.